GAUGAACGCUGGCGGCGUGCCUAAUACAUGCAAGUCGAGCGAACGGACGAGGAGCUUGCUCCUCUGACGUUAGCGGCGGACGGGUGAGUAACACGUGGAUAACCUACCUAUAAGACUGGGAUAACUUCGGGAAACCGGAGCUAAUACCGGAUAAUAUAUUGAACCGCAUGGUUCAAUAGUGAAAGACGGUUUUGCUGUCACUUAUAGAUGGAUCCGCGCCGCAUUAGCUAGUUGGUAAGGUAACGGCUUACCAAGGCGACGAUGCGUAGCCGACCUGAGAGGGUGAUCGGCCACACUGGAACUGAGACACGGUCCAGACUCCUACGGGAGGCAGCAGUAGGGAAUCUUCCGCAAUGGGCGAAAGCUUGACGGAGCAACGCCGCGUGAGUGAUGAAGGUCUUCGGAUCGUAAAACUCUGUUAUUAGGGAAGAACAAAUGUGUAAGUAACUAUGCACGUCUUGACGGUACCUAAUCAGAAAGCCACGGCUAACUACGUG
RNAcentral lists this ribosomal RNA (497 nucleotides) under uncultured bacterium. Its description in RNAcentral is "partial 16S ribosomal RNA". It matches the Rfam family "Bacterial small subunit ribosomal RNA", at positions 28 to 507 of the family's 1533-position model. The record is from RNAcentral.